AACUUUGUUUCUCUGGUGCUAUUCCACUGGGGGAAAAGAGGUGGGGAGAGGUUUGCUGGUUAGAGUUCUAAAACUAAUGGCAAAAACAUUUUGCCAAUUAACUUUGCACCAACCCGAUAUAUCUGUAGACUUUUAAGUCUUAGCAUUCAGCAGUAAACUGAGUCCAUUUUUAAAAAUAUAAUACCUUUUGUUUACCUAGGAGCUGGUGUAGUGAAGGAUGAAGAGAAGGCAAUGCAAUGGUUUAGACCUUAUUCUCCAGAGAAGAGGCACCGUUAAGGGUUCAAAGGCUCUCUCUGACUUCUCCUGCAUCUUUUCCUUCACCGGAAUUUCCAUCAAUAAAUCUCUUGCACCUCUAGUCUUGUUUUGGCAUCUGCUUCUCAGAAAUCCAAAUUGACACAUGGUAAAUGGCUAAGUAUUAUCAGCAGGUAUCGAGAGGAAUUAUAAAGCAAUCCAUACUGAAGACCUGAGGGGGACUAUGCGGGUGAGGUAAAAGAACACCAAAUGAUCAAAGAUCAACUUUCCUAUCAGCAUGGAUAUUUUGUCUCUAGAUAGUGUAAGGACAAAAAUGAGCUAAGGAACAAGAUACUGGUGGCUGGUCUUUGGGAGUAGUAUUGGACCAAAAUCUGGUGGAGACCAAGCAUAAAUUUAUGAGGGGCUGAAUGGAAAUACAAGCAUUAAAUAAUAACAGUUGGAAAUGCAAUAUGUAUAAAAUAUUUCAGUGAUAAAUUGCCAAAUGAGUGUUAUGGUCAAUAAAGUUCAGAGAGUGAGAGACCACAUGGAAGUUUAGAAGGUUUUAGAAACAUUUUUAGGAUAGACAUUUUUCCUAAACACUGGGUAUCAUAACUGGAUAUGGUCUGGUUACUUUUACCACUGAAGAAGUGAAAACAGAGGUGGUUGACAUAGAGGAGUCACUUGAAUGUUAGGGAAGGUAGUCACCGUGCAAUAUUUUGAAGACAUGUUUCUUGAGUGGAGUCUUAAGACCACUGAGGAAUCGUAACUUAUUUAUAAAAUUUAAAAACACUAUGUUUUCAUUUUGAUGUCAAUCUUAAAAAGUAUUAUUAACGUAUUUGGGAUCUCGGCAUCACCUUCUGAGAACCACCUCUUGAUUUCUUGGCCUCCUUUUGUAUUUGUGUUAAUAACUAUGUUGGCACAAAACAGUACAGCUCGAGUCAUAACAGUCUGAUGAGAAAAAACAGAAGCAGACUACGUAUGUAAAUGAACCAUUCCUGUGACAUGCUCUUAUGUGCUCAAAGAUAGAUAGGAGGCUGAGCGUGGUGGCUCGCACCUGUAAUCUCAGCACUUUGGGAGGCUGAGGUGAGCAGAUCACUUGAAUUCAGGAGUUAGAGACCAUUUUGGGCAACAUGGCAAAACCCUAUUUCUAUAAACAAUACAAAAAUCAGGCUUGCUGGUGUGUGCCUGGGGAUGUUGAGGCAGCAGUGAGCUGUGAUGGCGCCACUGCACUCCUGGAAGCAGAGUGAGAUUUUGUCUUAAAAAAAAAAAAAAAAAAAAAGACAGGAUUCCUUGGGGUUGGGUCUUUUGAUAUUUUCAUCAAUAUGAACUGCUGAUAUGAUGGUUUCUCUAAUUAUGGGCCAGUUAAAUUAAGCACAUGGAAAUCUCUUGAGGACGGACAUUAAAUUGGGAGCUACCAUCCAUUCUCAUUUUGAGAAAUAAAAUAUUUAAAAUAUGCUCUCAAGUAAGAAGCACCAAUUUCAGUCCAAAGUCUAAGCUGCCAUUAUUUUCUAGAAUAGGAAAAUUAGCAUUUGAUUUAUCUCUUGCUUUGUCUGGGAGACUUACUGGAAUAAUAAGAGAGAGAGUGUCAUCUUCAGUAAACUCAAGAUUCAUAAAUUCUUCCAAUUCUUCCCUUGUAUUAGC
Molecule: long non-coding RNA, 1872 nt
Filed under: Papio anubis (olive baboon)
Lineage: Eukaryota; Metazoa; Chordata; Mammalia; Primates; Cercopithecidae
Description: lncRNA (ENSPANG00000051278.1)
Source: RNAcentral